This 976-nucleotide ribosomal RNA is filed under the name Salmonella enterica subsp. enterica serovar Newport. RNAcentral describes it as "partial 23S ribosomal RNA". It matches the Rfam family "Bacterial large subunit ribosomal RNA", at positions 657 to 1552 of the family's 2925-position model. Lineage: Bacteria; Pseudomonadati; Pseudomonadota; Gammaproteobacteria; Enterobacterales; Enterobacteriaceae. The record is from RNAcentral.
AUAGGGGAGCCGUAGGGAAACCGAGUCUUAACCGGGCGUUAAGUUGCAGGGUAUAGACCCGAAACCCGGUGAUCUAGCCAUGGGCAGGUUGAAGGUUGGGUAACACUAACUGGAGGACCGAACCGACUAAUGUUGAAAAAUUAGCGGAUGACCUGUGGCUGGGGGUGAAAGGCCAAUCAAACCGGGAGAUAGCUGGUUCUCCCCGAAAGCUAUUUAGGUAGCGCCUCGUGAAUUCAUCUCCGGGGGUAGAGCACUGUUUCGGCUAGGGGGCCAUCCCGGCUUACCAACCCGAUGCAAACUGCGAAUACCGGAGAAUGUUAUCACGGGAGACACACGGCGGGUGCUAACGUCCGUCGUGAAGAGGGAAACAACCCAGACCGCCAGCUAAGGUCCCAAAGUCAUGGUUAAGUGGGAAACGAUGUGGGAAGGCCCAGACAGCCAGGAUGUUGGCUUAGAAGCAGCCAUCAUUUAAAGAAAGCGUAAUAGCUCACUGGUCGAGUCGGCCUGCGCGGAAGAUGUAACGGGGCUAAACCAUGCACCGAAGCUGCGGCAGCGAACGUAUCACUUAAAGCGAUUCAGCGGGUUACGAUUGACGGAGCGAAGCGACGUCAAAGCGUAUACAAAGUCGAGUCGGUUUAAGGAUACGUUCGUUGGGUAGGGGAGCGUUCUGUAAGCCUGUGAAGGUGGCCUGUGAGGGUUGCUGGAGGUAUCAGAAGUGCGAAUGCUGACAUAAGUAACGAUAAAGCGGGUGAAAAGCCCGCUCGCCGGAAGACCAAGGGUUCCUGUCCAACGUUAAUCGGGGCAGGGUGAGUCGACCCCUAAGGCGAGGCCGAAAGGCGUAGUCGAUGGGAAACAGGUUAAUAUUCCUGUACUUGGUGUUACUGCGAAGGGGGGACGGAGAAGGCUAUGUUGGCCGGGCGACGGUUGUCCCGGUUUAAGCGUGUAGGCUGGUUUUCCAGGCAAAUCCGGAAAAUCA